UAAUGAAAAUGGCGAUACCGGUCUUUCCGGCAUGAACACUCGCGACACGAUGCCAAGUGUAUUCUGUUGAGUGAUUUUUAUGCGUAUUUAAUUCAACAACGAUUAUAAUGGACGACGUUGUAGAGUUGGAUGAUUGCGAUCAUAAAGAAAAAAGAGCGCAUUUCCAAGCGCCGGCAAUUCAACAUAAUCCUGACGGCUGGGGCCCAUGUGAAUUGCCAGAUCAAUUUAAAGAUAUUCCUUAUCAACCAUUUUCCAAAGGCGACAGGCUAGGAAAAAUCUGCGAUUGGACUGCACCAGCAUUCCAAGAUAAGAAAUUUCCAAACAAAUAUACUUCUCAAUUUGGCUCAGGAAGUCAAUAUGCUUACUAUCAUGAUGAAGAUGAAAGCACUUUCCAUCUUGUGGAUACUACUAGAGUGCAGAAGCCGCCUUAUCAACGUGGCAGGUUCAGGCACAACCAGCGUAAUUUGCGUGGACGUGGAGGCCAGCGUGGUGCUUUGAGUCAAAUGCAACAGCUAGGUAAAUUGAAGCUACGCGAGCGCGAACGCAAAGGACAAACAAAACGUUGGGGUAGGCAGCAGGGAUUAAGAAAUCACAAGAAUCAACCACCCAUUAAGAUUCGAGAUGCUUCUGUCACCGUACGACCUGAUUGGGUGACUAUAGAAGAGAUGGAUUUCCCUAGAUUAGCUAAACUAUCAUUACCCAGCGUUAAAGACGGAGAAGAUAUACUCUGUUGUGGAUCUCUAGAGUAUUACGAUAAAACUUAUGACAGAGUAAAUGUCAAAAAUGAGAAACCAUUGCAAAGAAUCGACCGUAUCUUCCAUACCGUUACUACUACCGAUGAUCCUAUUAUCCGUAAACUAUCGAAAACCGAGGGCAACGUCUAUGCCACUGAUGCCAUACUCGCUACUAUUAUGUGCUGCACUCGUAGUAAUUAUUCAUGGGAUAUAGUGAUUGAAAAAAUCGGAGACAAGCUUUUCUUUGAUAAACGAGAUAAUACAGAAUUCGACCUUUUAACUGUAAACGAAACUAGCGUGGAACCACCGCAGGAUGACGGGAAUUCAUUAAAUUCUCCAAGAAACUUGGCAUUAGAGGCCACAUUUAUUAAUCAUAAUUUCUCGCAGCAAGUGCUUAAAUCCAAUGAACCACGUCACAAAUUUGAUGAAGGAAAUCCUUUUAUCUCCGAAGAAGAAGAGAGUGAUGUAGCCAGCGUUGCUUAUCGCUAUCGUAAAUGGGAUCUUAAUAAUGGUAUCGUCUUAGUUGCUCGAUGUGAACACGAUGCCGUAAUGCAAGGUCCAAAUAACGAAACACAAUUUCUAACUAUUAAAGCAUUGAACGAAUGGGAUUCUAAACUUGCAAAUGGUGUUGAAUGGCGCCAAAAGUUGGAUACCCAACGUGGUGCAGUAUUAGCUAAUGAACUUAGAAAUAAUGCUUGCAAAUUAGCCAAGUGGACUGUUCAAGCAAUAUUAGCUGGAUCGGAUCAAUUGAAAUUUGGAUACGUUUCACGUGCUAUCGUACGUGAUUCUAGCAAACAUGUAAUUCUUGGUACUCAACAAUAUAAGCCCAAUGAAUUUGCCACUCAAAUUAAUUUGAAUAUGGAUAAUGCUUGGGGUAUACUGAGAUGUAUUAUUGACAUUUGUAUGAAGCAAAAGGAUGGAAAAUAUUUGAUUAUGAAGGAUCCUAAUAAGCCUAUGAUUCGUUUGUACGAUAUACCUGACAAUACUUUUGAGAGCGAAGGAGAAGAAGAUGAAGAUGAAGAUGAACCUACGAACGACGCAUUCCAAAGUUAACAGAAGAGAACAGCGAUCGUCCGAGGAACCUUAUAUAUCGUGAAUCAUUUCGUCAACCAGAUACAAGUGCGCGCCUAUUAAACGGCGUGUUUUUAUUCGAAUCUUCGAAGUAAUUUAUAUCGAAUGAUCAAAUUCCAUCUUUGUUGUCAGGACAAAAGGAUCCUCAUAAAAGUUUAUGUCGAUGAUUUGUUUACAUCCAUACAUUUAAUAAUAUAUGUGAUUUUACGUAUAACCGCUUCCACCAUCGCGUCAGUAAUUUCAUGGUACAAAACUAAUCUAACCGUCGUACUGGUUACAGGUAAACAUUUUAUUAUUAUUUUAUCAUCCUCCUCAUCUUCUUGAACUUGCUGAAGUCUUUCUGCAAAAUUUAUUGAAGUAAUAAAUUUCGAAUGUAUAUUUAUAAAAACUA
Vespa mandarinia (Asian giant hornet) is the source of this 2196-nucleotide RNA transcript. It is a transcript of the gene named eukaryotic translation initiation factor 3 subunit d1, with no coding region annotated. NCBI's taxonomy places the organism in Eukaryota, Metazoa, Arthropoda, Insecta, Hymenoptera, Vespidae. The record is from RefSeq and is a predicted model, not a curated record.